CCCGACUUUUAAAUGCCCGACUUUGUUUUGGUGUUUUUAGAGGAUGCAUAGGUCGGGGUUGCAUGAUGUGAUCGAGGUCAAGUGGUCGAGUUCGAGACUAACGAGAUCUAGAAUCAUCACUGGCCCCCGUGCAUCGAGGUCGUAGAUGCCGUUUCAUUCUGGUCUACGAGCGAAGAUGUAGAGACAUGAACGUCCAGAUGUUUCUCCACGUGUCGAGUGUUGGAUGGGAUGUCAGAGAACGAUCUCAGAUGACCGCCACGUGUAAUGUCAGAGCACGAGCUUAGAUUCUCGUCACGUGUCUUGGUCCAGGGGGUGAGAUUGCAUGAUCGUUGGUAUUCCUCAGUCCCCUAUAAAUAUCCCAAUUUUUACUCUCAUUUUUUCACUUUUAACUCUCAACUCCCAGUAAAUCGAGCUCGAGUUCGGGGAUUAGUAGUGUUUGUGAGCGACUAUCCACAGAGGUAAGAGUUCGAGCCCUUAAGUUGUUUUAUUUGAUUAUAGCAUAAUGUCGAGUAG
RNAcentral lists this long non-coding RNA (513 nucleotides) under Olea europaea subsp. europaea. Lineage: Eukaryota; Viridiplantae; Streptophyta; Magnoliopsida; Lamiales; Oleaceae. The record is from RNAcentral.